Danaus plexippus (monarch butterfly) is the source of this 565-nucleotide long non-coding RNA. RefSeq lists it as uncharacterized. The record is from RefSeq and is a predicted model, not a curated record. The transcript has 2 exons. Lineage: Eukaryota; Metazoa; Arthropoda; Insecta; Lepidoptera; Nymphalidae.
GAUACAAUUUUACACGAAAUAACAUUAAAAUAUAUGUUUGUUUGAGAAUAAAAAAGCAUUUUUAUUGCUUAUAAAAGUUAAAAUGAAUAUGUAGUAAAAAUUUUGUCGAUUCUAGGAUCCCUUGGAAGUUUUUAAACUGACGUAACGAUAAUUAAUAACAGUUUCUCUAGAUUUUCAAUUAAAGUAAGUUGAUUGGAAAAAUUAUGUUGCAGGUAUACUUUUUUACUAUGGUAAGUUGAUUCGGAAAUGUGUAGACGAUGUGAUAUAAAAAUAGACUUUAUUGCUGAACUUGCAAAUCGCAAAAAGUACAAAUGGUACAGAAAAACAUAUUAAGAAUAACAAUGGCUAUUUACUCAUUAUUAUGAAUAAUAAAGAAAACCGGAGGCCAAUAUCUCGUACAAAUUAUGAUCAUUUGGCGAGAAAAGAAAGGAUAAAAUCUAUGAAAUUAUUAAAAGAACAUAACGCUAGAGUUCAAGAAAUAAUGGAUUUUUUAAAGAAUCACAGAGUAUCCACCAUGUAUUUACUUGACGAAAUAAAUAGAAUUAAAAGGGAUCAUAAAGUAAAA